CCUACGGGUGGCAGCAGUAGGGAAUCUUCCACAAUGGACGAAAGUCUGAUGGAGCAACGCCGCGUGAGUGAAGAAGGUUUUCGGCUCGUAAAGCUCUGUUGGUAGUGAAGAAAGAUAGAGGUAGUAACUGGCCUUUAUUUGACGGUAAUUACUUAGACAGUCACGGCUAACUACGUGCCAGCGGCCGCGGUAAUACGUAGGUGGCAAGCGUUGUCCGGUUUUAUUGGGCGGAAAGCGAGUGCAGGCGGUUCAAUAAGUCUGAUGUGAAAGGCUUCGGCCCAACCGGAGGAUUGCACCAGAAACUGUAGAACUGGAGUGCAGAAGAGGGGAGUGGAAAUCCAGGUGUAGCGGUGGAAUGCGUAGAUAUAUGGAAGAACACCAGUGGCGAAGGCGGCUCUCUGGGCUGCAACUGACGCUGAGGCUCGAAAGCAUGGGUAGCGAACAGGAUUAGAUACCCCUGUAGUC
RNAcentral lists this ribosomal RNA (465 nucleotides) under uncultured bacterium. Its description in RNAcentral is "partial 16S ribosomal RNA". It matches the Rfam family "Bacterial small subunit ribosomal RNA", at positions 338 to 795 of the family's 1533-position model. The record is from RNAcentral.